UAGCUAGUUGGUAGGGUAAAGGCCUACCAAGGCGACGAUCGGUAGCUGGUCUGAGAGGAUGACCAGCCACACUGGAACUGAGACACGGUCCAGACUCCUACGGGAGGCAGCAGUGGGGAAUAUUGGACAAUGGGGGCAACCCUGAUCCAGCAAUGCCGCGUGUGAAGAAGGCCUGAGGGUUGUAAAGCACUUUCAGUGGGGAGGAGGAUAUUUUGGUUAAGAGCUGAGAUAUUGGACGUUACCUACAGAAGAAGCACCGGCUAACUCCGUGCCAGCAGCCGCGGUAAUACGGAGGGUGCGAGCGUUAAUCGGAAUUACUGGGCGUAAAGGGUGCGUAGGUGGUUAAUUAAGUUAGAUGUAAAAACCCUGGGCUUAACCUAGGACUGAGAUUUAAUACUGAUUAACUGGAGUAUGGGAGAGGGUAGUGGAAUUUCCGGUGUAGCGGUGAAAUGCGUAGAGAUCGGAAGGAACACCAGUGGCGAAGGCGGCUACCUGGCCUAAUACUGACACUGAAGCACGAAAGCGUGGGGAGCAAACAGGAUUAGAUACCCUGGUAGUCCACGCUGUAAACGAUGUCAACUAGCCGUUGGUCAUAUGAAAAUGAUAAGUGGCGC
Molecule: ribosomal RNA, 614 nt
Filed under: uncultured Legionella sp.
Lineage: Bacteria; Pseudomonadati; Pseudomonadota; Gammaproteobacteria; Legionellales; Legionellaceae
Description: bacterial SSU rRNA
Rfam family: Bacterial small subunit ribosomal RNA
Source: RNAcentral